RNAcentral lists this long non-coding RNA (1607 nucleotides) under Sus scrofa (pig). RNAcentral's name for it is "lncRNA (ENSSSCG00005009898.1)". The record is from RNAcentral. Lineage: Eukaryota; Metazoa; Chordata; Mammalia; Artiodactyla; Suidae.
UUUUUUUUUUUCCUCAAGCUCCUCAAAGAGUUAUGUACACUAGCUUUCAAAGAAAAAGAAAACAUUACAUAUUAAGUCCCAGCUCUUAACCUCUGGAGAUGGAAACCAUGUCUUUUCUAAAGGAAAAAAUUGUGUAUAUAUAUAAAUAUAGACAUAUAUAUAUAUAAUCAUAUAAUACUUGUUUGUCAUAGGUAGUAACAAGCUACAAAAAAGAGAUUAAAAAAAUUAAAGCCACCCUCAUCUUAAGCAUCAAAAGCAAACACAUUCACAUUCUGUCAUACAGUCAUCCAGACUUUUCCCGGUGCUGUGCAUACCCCAUCGACACAUUUCUUCCUCACAAAAAGAGGUUGAAUUACACACCCUGCUUUGCAACUUUUUCAUUUUAAAUGCACCGUGUAAGUGUUUCAGGGUAAAUUUUAAAAACCCUCUAUAUUAAUGUUCCUUAUGGCCCCAGAGAGUUUCAUUUGCUCGAUGUAUCAAAUUUUAUAUCUUUUACCCUAGGUCAGGCCGUUUUCUGUCUUUCAUCACUAUAAACAGUUCCAGCAAACAUCCUUCUAUAAACACAUGGUUUUUAACACUGUCCUCUUACUACUGCCUUAAGAUAAAUGCAUAGAAGUGGAAUUGCUGGAUUAAAGCCUCCUGCUACACAUUCUCAAACAUCCCUCAAGAAAGGCUACACCAUUUUAAACCCCAACUAGCAAGGUUUAAGAGAUUUUCUAAUCCCUAAACUCUUGCUAAUACCACAUACCUUUCUUUAAUCUCAUACAACUUGAUACGCAUAAGUAGCAUCUGUGUUUCUUUCAUUUCUAGGGAAGUAGAAAAAUUUUUUUAUAUUUACCAGCCAUAAGAGCUACCAUCUUGUUGUAUUUGCAUACACGGAAUUUUCACGUUGGUUUUUUUUAAGAGUUCUUUACAUUUAAAAAUACCCUCAUUUGGAAGAUCCCAUCAUGAACCCGACUAGCAUCCAUGAGGACUCGGGUUCAAUCCCUGGUCUUGCUCAGUGGGUUAAGGACUGAAAGAAACAGAUGAAAAUGGAAUCUUGAGCAGAUUUAAGUGACUUGGCGAGGAAAAAUGACUGGGUCAUCUCUGAAAUUCUUUUCCCAUCUCAGAUGUUACACCUACAUGAUGUAAGGGAAANNNNNNNNNNNNNNNNNNNNNNNNNNNNNNNNNNNNNNNNNNNNNNNNNNNNNNNNNNNNNNNNNNNGGAAAGUUUGGAUGUAUCAGAGCCCCCCCCCCCCCAAAUCUGACUCCUCCCUGCCUUCGGUUCAGACCUUCACCACUUGGACUUCUGAGUCAUGACCAACUCCCUGGCCGUCCACCCCUGGCCACACAGCAGUGCCCCUUCCACACCACAGCCAGGGUGAGCUCCCCAAACCAUGACGCUGCCUACUGGCAACCCCCUGACUCAGCCUCUGGCGGAUCCCAGCAGCACUCAGAUUAGAACUGGAAUGCCUUAGUGGGCCUAAGAGUGGAAAGAAAGGUGCUUAAAAGUAGGGCCUUAGAGAUUUCAUUUGUACUUCAUGUUUUUUCUAAGAUGUACCUUGCUCAUGGGCAAAGGAGCUUAUAAAUCAGAGUAACUCAAUAAUGUAAUGAAACACCACAUUCUU